UGUAAGUAUAAGCGAUUGUACUGUGAGACUGCGAACGGCUCAUUAUAUCAGUAAUAAUUUCUUCGGUAGUUUCUUUUAUAUGGAUACCUGCAGGGAUUCUGGAAAUAAUACAUGCUGUAAGAGCCCUGUAUGGGGCUGCACUUAUUAGAUUGAAGCCGAUUUUAUUGGUGAAUCAUGAUAAUUGAGCAGAUUGACUUUUUU
RNAcentral lists this ribosomal RNA (201 nucleotides) under Aurantiochytrium sp. Its description in RNAcentral is "partial small subunit ribosomal RNA". It matches the Rfam family "Eukaryotic small subunit ribosomal RNA", at positions 58 to 279 of the family's 1831-position model. Lineage: Eukaryota; Bigyra; Thraustochytrida; Thraustochytriidae. The record is from RNAcentral.